This 484-nucleotide ribosomal RNA is filed under the name uncultured bacterium. Its description in RNAcentral is "partial 16S ribosomal RNA". It matches the Rfam family "Bacterial small subunit ribosomal RNA", at positions 30 to 507 of the family's 1533-position model. The record is from RNAcentral.
AUUGAACGCUGGCGGCAGGCCUAACACAUGCAAGUCGAGCGGAUGAGGGGAGCUUGCUCCUGGAUUCAGCGGCGGACGGGUGAGUAAUGCCUAGGAAUCUGCCUGGUAGUGGGGGAUAACGUCCGGAAACGGGCGCUAAUACCGCAUACGUCCUGAGGGAGAAAGUGGGGGAUCUUCGGACCUCACGCUAUCAGAUGAGCCUAGGUCGGAUUAGCUAGUUGGUGGGGUAAAGGCCUACCAAGGCGACGAUCCGUAACUGGUCUGAGAGGACGAUCAGUCACACUGGAACUGAGACACGGUCCAGACUCCUACGGGAGGCAGCAGUGGGGAAUAUUGGACAAUGGGCGAAAGCCUGAUCCAGCCAUGCCGCGUGUGUGAAGAAGGUCUUCGGAUUGUAAAGCACUUUAAGUUGGGAGGAAGGGCAGUAAGUUAAUACCUUGCUGUUUUGACGUUACCAACAGAAUAAGCACCGGCUAACUUCGUG